CUGUGUUAAAUUUGUAUGGAGUUGGAAAGUUUGCUGCUAGGGGCGCUGUUCCAACUCCAUACAAAUUUGAGUUA
RNAcentral lists this microRNA precursor (74 nucleotides) under Bombyx mori (domestic silkworm). Its description in RNAcentral is "mir-2807 microRNA precursor family". It matches the Rfam family "mir-2807 microRNA precursor family". Lineage: Eukaryota; Metazoa; Arthropoda; Insecta; Lepidoptera; Bombycidae. The record is from Rfam by way of RNAcentral.